GCCACAAGUGGGUGCAGCGGGCGCAGCCCCCAGCCCUGGCGCCUCGGACACACCCACUCGCCGCCGCACUCACGCGCCUCCCAUCCACCACGCACAGACGCCCACGCGCGCACUCCCGGGCGCACGCUGGCACCUCCACAUGACCGCAAAGGCGCCCGGAAUCCUGAUGCCAGCAAGGUCCUUGGGGAUCACCUAAUCCAUCCCCCUGCCUGCAAGCGGGACCAGACUUCCACCCCGCAAUUCGACGAGAGCCCCAGUCCCACGAGGCCCUGGAGCGAAGGACUUUCUGAAAGCCCUCCGGCGUUGCUUCUUCAGAAUGAAAUACACCUGUGUCCGGAAGGUCUUUCACACAGCUAACCUGAGGACUCCAGGCUGUUAAAUAGGCUCCUAGGACCACCCCACCAACUCUUCGAAUGACUCUGAAAAGCCCGAAGCCCCAAUUCGAGUCUGUUAGUCUCAGCCCCUUUCUUCCACCCAGAAAAUGGGGCUGUAGAAGUUCACUUAGAUAGGCAGAUCCUUGACACCCAGCACUUGGUGGUAACCUUGGCGCCCUAGGCUUCCACUCCUGGCUGCCACCAUCAGGCAGAUCCAGGACAGGUUCCUUUGGUCACCCCCAGCUGCCUCCUGCUGAGGUGGGUUCAGUUACUUUUAAAAAUAGUCCAAAGCCAUUCUGAACCAAAGUCUUGAAUCAGCUGUGAAGCCAGAUUUGGAGAAGUAUCCAUCUCCGGUUCAGCAGGGAACGCAGGAGGCCAGGCCUGGGAGGAGAGUCCAAGGGCUGACAGUGUCUGGUGGAGCCUCAGCAUCUCUGCACCAACCGUGUGCCCUCCUGAGGUUAUUGCUUGAAGGACCACGUUCAUUUAUCAGAGCAAAACAAUAUUUCCCAGCCUCCCCUUCAGAAUGGUGAGGACAUGUGACUGAACUCUGGCCAACAGGAUGUGAGCAAAAGUGAUGGCGUGCUGAGAUCCCAGAUGUGUGUCUCUCCAGAUCCGGAGUGCCAGCCUCUAGGCCAUUCUGGCUGAAGGCUUCAUGUGUGUUAUUUUUACCUCCCAACGAAACCGUAAGCCUCUCAUCGUCAGGAACUGUCACGAGGACAUGGGCUGACCCUGGGACUGGACACUCAACUUGCAUUUGUCGGAUGGAGCAGAAUGAGACAGGAAAGCCCAGUGCUGGGCGUGUUUUCCCCCUGGGCAGCCUAGCAAGCCACCAACAGCCCCAGCGACCACCAGAGGGAAGGGAGCAGGCUUUUGAGUCCAAAGUUCAUCGGAGACCAGAAGGAUUUGCCCUAGAGGACAUUCAGCCCUUUGCGCAGUGUGAACUUGGCCGUGGAGCAGGGCCCUCCUCCCACUGCACCAGCAGCAACAGGGCAGCUACUCCACGCUGGGCACUGAAGAUGCUUCCUGGCCCUGAGGACCCAGACAAGGCCCAGGAUCCAACAAGACAGUGCCCCUGCGCUCCUGGACUGCAGCCCUCUCUGUGCACCCCUGAAGCACAUGGAUACGUCUCCAGGUACCAUCACCCUCCGCUUGUCACCAUCUUCUGGGGCCCGAGCAAGCAUUUCUUGGGAGCCUGUGUCCAUUUGAUGGGAUAUGGGGAGGGGUGUGUAGAUGACAGCGAGUCCAGCUAAGACCCCAUCUACACGGUGCGAAAACGCUCUGUGAUCCUAUCAUAACUCAGUCCUACCGGGUCUGUCUGCUUCCUGGGCAAGAGGAGCCCCGCCCCUCCCCAGGCACACCUGCCAGGCCAGCCGCAGCCCAUUGACACUAAUGGCUCUGGCUGCCGGACUUGCCUUGGCAGGAAGGGAUUGGGUUUCAGAAAUCCGAGAAUUAACUCAUCUUCCCAGGCUUUGAUGUGAGGCCUUAGCUCUGUGUGGAAACGUUGGACAUGCCACAUAUGCCCCCCCCUUCCAGCCUUACCCUUGCCCAAGAGGCUCCCCCUGGCUCGGCCGGAAGUUGGGUGGCUCGGAGGAACUGCUCUUUCCUCUCUAGCUCCUGACUCUCCUUCCUCUUGGCUACUCACUCUGUGUACCCCUUCUGCCAUGCCGCCCACACACACCCGGAUGCACACACACGCGCACGCACAUGCACACGCACCUGUCCCAUGGAACACGGUUGUAAUGACAUAACCACUAACCCUCUCCGACAGCCACUUUUCCCCCCGUCAGAAGAGAGAGAAAGCAAACCCAAGGCUAAAAAGGCAGCUGUGACCACACCGAAAGUGCUUCCUCUGAGUUCGAAUAGGUUGUAUUUUCCUGCGUUGUAAAGUACGUGGAAGGAGCGGGUGUCCUGGCCCGCUCACUGCUCUGCGAGAAG
RNAcentral lists this long non-coding RNA (2309 nucleotides) under Equus asinus (donkey). Its description in RNAcentral is "lncRNA (ENSEASG00005037085.1)". Lineage: Eukaryota; Metazoa; Chordata; Mammalia; Perissodactyla; Equidae. The record is from RNAcentral.